RNAcentral lists this long non-coding RNA (2964 nucleotides) under Salvia miltiorrhiza (redroot sage). RNAcentral describes it as "long non-coding RNA (SMIL_LNC001125)". Lineage: Eukaryota; Viridiplantae; Streptophyta; Magnoliopsida; Lamiales; Lamiaceae. The record is from RNAcentral.
UAGUCAUAUUAAGCAUUUUAAUUUCAAUAUAGCACCAAGAAUUCCAUUUGUACAAGAAAAAAUAUUUGUCAACCAAACCACCAUCCUGUAGGUACGAACUAAAAGGUUAUGGCAUAAAUAUUACAAGAGGAACAUAGCAAAAGAAAUUACUAAUAAGAUCACAUCACACCUCACUGGGUAUUUCAAAGAAUACGAGCAUUCAACUUCUGGAUUUGACUUGUAAUGCUCAUGAAGCCAUGCAUACCAAUCUCUCUGGAGGAGUAUGUAUCCUUAUUUUGUGGCAUGAGCCCCUUACUCCACCGCCUCUCAGCUCGAUCACUGCCACUUCUUUCCAGACUGCCAUCCACAGUUUCCUCAUAAUUUUCUCUCAUGGCUCACUUAUUGUCAUCAGUGCCAACAAAUUGUUAGAGUACAGAUAAAAACACAAGGUCUAAUGGAAUAUUUUCUGUAUAUUUCUAUAAUGUAUUAACUCAUACAAGCUUUCUUUCGUCUUGGUCAGAUAGCAGUAAUCUUCUUUUGGAGAUAAAAGUAAUGAGCAAAUUAUGUGCUCUAUUUGUCUACCAUGGCAGGCUUCAAAGAUAUCCAAAUUAUAUCCUCAAGUUCAUCGAUACAACAAUAAAAGUAAACAAUGGCCUAGAUUUGUGGAGGCAUCUUUUCUCAAGCAUGGUAGCACCUUGAUAGAUACACAAUCAAUUCCUUCUUCAACUUAGAUACAUACAAGAGAUGAGGCAAGUAGACAAGAUUCAAGAAUUCGACACUCACCUUAGCAUCUUCUGUUCUCUUUGUAGUCCCAACUACAAUGGAAUCACGCAAACAUCAACCGAAUAGAUUUGUAAAAAAAUGAAGUUAACAGGAUACAAGCCUGCAAAUACUAUCUNGGUAGAGUGAUACCACGUACGUAAUAUCCAAACUCCCGCGGAUGCAUCCCAACUCAACCUGUGUAUGAUCAAUGAUUAACCAACAAACAUUAUGGAGUAUUAUACAUAGACAUACAAUACAAGGCGUUUGGGAUGCGUACCUGUAGAGCGUCAAUGGAGUCAGAAUCAACAUCCUUUACAGUCCAGUGUGAAGUAGCACUAGUGUUUGGAUUUGGCUGGGAGGAGAGAUUGUCGACCACCAAAGCGAUUCCGCCACGGGAGGAGGAGGAAGAAGGGGAAGGCGGAAGAGUGUGAAGGACCUCCUCGUAGCCAUCGUCCUUCCAGUAGACCUUGGGCUUGUAGGAAGUAAUGUGGCCAUUUGGAAUGUCGAGCUUCACGGAGCUUCCAUUUCUGACGCUCAGCUCAACCGUCGCCGAAUCUGAAAACUUUAUGCCUUUGCGUCCGAAUUUCUGGUCAAGACUCUCUGUCGCAGUUGCAGUUGCAGUUGAAGGCGCAGCACAAGCUUUAGCAGAUUUAAGGGGGGAGAAGGAUAGAAGCGAAGCCAUUCUCACUCACUCAACUCUCACAGAUUAAGCUAAGCAAGAGGAUCUCUCUCCACCAGCAAAUAUUUACCUCGUCCCAUCCCCUCUAUUUUUUGGAUAGACCCACCUCCGCCUCUUCCUGCACUUACUUACUAACUAACUAUUGUUUUUGUUUUUAUACUACCCCAAAUAUUACGCGUUUCAUCACAUAAUAUCUUAUUCUCUUCAAAACAACAAUUACGUUUAUUAUUUAUCUUCCAAAAAUGGGAUGACUCAUAUUUGUGAUACCAUGAUUAGUAUUAUUAUUAUUAUUAUUAUUUUUUAAAAUUGAAAAUAAAAUUUAUUAAUAUUAUUAAUUAUACUUAAUUUUAUUUAAAAAAAUUAUAUACCAUGAUUUCGAAUUUAACAACCUUGUAUAGUUGUAUUAACUAAUAAAAUUAAUAAUUAUAUAUCAUAAUUGGAUGAGAUAAACCCUAGUUAGUAAUUACAAUAAUAAAAUUGCAAAUGGUAGUGGAAUAUCAAAUGUAGUACAUUGGACCUAAAAUGCAAAAGUAUUAGUAGUAUACAAAUAAUUGAUCUUUUACUCGACUAAACUGCCAUUCAUCGCGGCAUAAGUAACUAAGUUGUGUAUAAAUCUAAAAUUGAAAGAAUAUUUUAGGAAAUCCUAGUAACCACCAUCUUCAAGAUAGAAAAGUUGUGCAAUUGUGGUGUUCAUGAUUCCAAGAAAAGCUCCUGUUAUUUUUACGGUUCUCCUGCCAUCUUCAGUCAUUUGAACAUAUGCAUCACUAUUUAUAGCAUUGCCAGAUAUCAAGAAUUUAAACAUGUGACCGGUUGGCCAGUACUGCGAAACCCAAGUUUCAAGUAAAUAAUAAAAACCAAGUCUUGAAAAAAGAAUCUUAACUUCCCUUUCCUCUUACUCAAACUCAACAUGUAAACUUAAAGCAUCCAUCCCACUUCCUUCCCUUGAGGCUGAGCGGAAUGCACAAACACAACCUAUUAGUCAUAUUAAGCAUUUUAAUUUCAAUAUAGCACCAAGAAUUCCAGUUAUACAAGAAAAAAAUAUUUGUCAACCAAACCACCAUCCUGUAGGUACGAACUAAAAGGUUAUAGCAUAAAUAUUACAAGAGGAACAUAACAAAAGAAAUUACUAAUAAGAUCACAUCACACCUCACUGGGUAUUUCAAAGAAUACGAGCAUUCAACUUCUGGAUUUGACUUGUAAUGCUCAUGAAGCCAUGCAUACCACUCUCUCUGGAGGAGUAUGUAUCCUUAUUUUGUGGCGUGAGCCCCUUACUCCACCGCCUCUCAGCUCGAUCACUGCCACUUCUUUCCAGACUGCCAUCCACAGUUUCCUCAUAAUUUUCUCUCAUGGCUCACUUAUUGUCAUCAGUGCAAACAAAAACACAAGGUGAUGCAGGUAGAAGCGUGAAAUAUAUUUGAUAUUGAUAAUUAUACGAACUCCGUUGAUAACCAUUGUAUGCCGGAAUACGUACAAUAAGGGUUAAUCCGUUGAUUCACUCAUGAAUACCGGAAGAACACAAUGAGAAGGGAACAAUCCCACCCUCU